Arvicanthis niloticus (Nile rat) is the source of this 1117-nucleotide non-coding RNA. The record is from RefSeq and is a predicted model, not a curated record. Lineage: Eukaryota; Metazoa; Chordata; Mammalia; Rodentia; Muridae.
AUGUCGCAGAGCUUCCUCUUCACUUCAGAGUCUGUAGGGGAAGGUCACCCAGAUAAGAUUUGUGACCAAAUCAGUGAUGCUGUUCUUGAUGCACACCUUCAGCAGGAUGCUGAUGCUAAAGUGGCUUGUGAAACUGUUGCUAAAACUGGAAUGAUCCUUCUUGCUGGGGAAAUUACAUCCAGAGCUGCCAUUGAUUACCAGAAAGUAGUGUGUGAAGCCAUAAAGCACAUUGGCUAUGAUGAUUCUUCCAAAGGGUUUGACUACAAGACUUGUAAUGUGUUGGUUGCCUUGGAACAACAGUCACCAGAUAUUGCCCAGGGUGUUCAUCUUGACCAGAAUGAGGAAGACAUUGGUGCAGGAGACCAGGGUUUGAUGUUUGGUUAUGCCACUGAUGAAACUGAAGAGUGUAUGCCUUCAACCAUUGUCUUAGCACACAAGCUAAAUGCUCAAUUGGCUGAACUACACCGCAAUGGCACAUUGCCUUGGUUACGCCCAGAUUCUAAGACUCAAGUGACUGUGCAGUAUAUGCAAGAUCGAGGGUGCUGUGCUUCCCAUCAGAGUCCACAUGAUUCUUAUAUCUGUUCAGCAUGAUGAAGAAGCUUGUCUUGAUGAGAUGAGGGAUGCUCUAAAGGAGAAAGUGAUCAAAGCUGUCGUUACCUGCAAAGUCCCUUGAUGAGGAUACAAUUUACCACCUACAGCCAAGUGGCAGAUUUGUUAUUGGUGGGCCUCAGGGUGAUGCUGGUUUGACUGGCUGAAAAAUCAUUGUGGAUACUUAUGGCGGUUGGGUCAUUCAUGGAGGAGGGGCCUUUUCAGGACAGGAUUAUACCAAAGUGGACCACUCGGCUGCUUAAGCUGCUUGUAGGCUGGCAAAGUCCCUUGUUAGAGGAGGUCUGUGCAGGAGGGUUCUUGUUCAGGUCUCUUAUGCUAUUGGAGUUUCUCAUCCAUUGUUGAUCUCCAUUUUCCAUUAUGGCACUUCUCAGAAGAGUAGAAGAGAGCUACUAGAAAUUGUAAAGAAGAAUUUUGAUCUUCGCCCUGGGGUCAUUGUCAGGGAUCUGGAUCUGAAGAAGCCAAUUUAUCAGAGGACUGCAGCCUAUAGCCACUUUGGGAAGAGCAGCCU